GGAAUAUUGCGCAAUGGCCGAAAGGCUGACGCAGCGACGCCGUGUGUGGGAUGAAGGCUUUAGGGUUGUAAACCACUGUCAGGAGGGACGAAAUCAAUGACGGUACCUCCAAAGGAAGCGCCGGCAAACACCGUGCCAGCCGCCGCGGUAACACGGAGGGCGCGAACGUUGUUCGGAAUCACUGGGCGUAAAGCGCACGUAGGCGGUUGGGUAAGUCGCUUGUGAAAGCCCGGGGCUCAACUCCGGGAUGCCAGGCUAUACUGUCCGACUAGAGCACGGUAGAGGCAAGUGGAAUUCCCGGUGUAGCGGUGGAAUGCGUAGAUAUCGGGAAGAACACCAGUGGCGAAGGCGGCUUGCUGGGCCGUUUGCUGACGCUGAGGUGCGAAAGCGUGGGGAGCAAAC
RNAcentral lists this ribosomal RNA (402 nucleotides) under uncultured bacterium. Its description in RNAcentral is "bacterial SSU rRNA". It matches the Rfam family "Bacterial small subunit ribosomal RNA", at positions 358 to 773 of the family's 1533-position model. The record is from RNAcentral.